This 253-nucleotide ribosomal RNA is filed under the name uncultured bacterium. RNAcentral describes it as "partial 16S ribosomal RNA". It matches the Rfam family "Bacterial small subunit ribosomal RNA", at positions 524 to 776 of the family's 1533-position model. The record is from RNAcentral.
UACGGAGGGUGCAAGCGUUAUCCGGAUUUACUGGGUUUAAAGGGUGCGUAGGCGGGCCUUUAAGUCAGUGGUGAAAUCUUCCCGCUUAACGGGAAAACUGCCAUUGAUACUAUUGGUCUUGAAUACAGUUGAGGUGGGCGGAAUGUGUCGUGUAGCGGUGAAAUGCUUAGAUAUGACACAGAACACCGAUUGCGAAGGCAGCUCGCUAAACUGUGAUUGACGCUGAGGCACGAAGGCGUGGGGAUCAAACAGG